This 207-nucleotide ribosomal RNA is filed under the name uncultured bacterium. Its description in RNAcentral is "partial 16S ribosomal RNA". It matches the Rfam family "Bacterial small subunit ribosomal RNA", at positions 568 to 774 of the family's 1533-position model. The record is from RNAcentral.
CGCGUAGGCGGCUUUGUAAGUCGGAUGUGAAAGCCCCGGGCUUAACCUGGGAAUUGCAUUCGAUACUGCGAAGCUAGAGUAUGGUAGAGGGAAGUGGAAUUCCGGGUGUAGCGGUGAAAUGCGUAGAUAUCCGGAGGAACACCAGUGGCGAAGGCGACUUCCUGGGCCAAUACUGACGCUGAGGUGCGAAAGCGUGGGGAGCAAACA